This 121-nucleotide ribosomal RNA is filed under the name Pteropus alecto (black flying fox). The record is from RNAcentral. Lineage: Eukaryota; Metazoa; Chordata; Mammalia; Chiroptera; Pteropodidae.
GUCUGCAGCCAUGCUACCCUGAACAAUCCCUAUCCUGUCUGAUUUUGGAAGCUAAGCAGGGUCGGGCCUGGUUAGUACUUGGACGGGAGAGACUACCUAGGAAGACUAGGUGCUGUAGGUG